CACUGGUAGACACCAGGGUCAGGGGAAAAUACUGUGUUUCACUUCGAGAGACAAGAUGGCCCUCAGGGACUUUUCCCUUUUCGAUGCUGCCAGUUCCAGGACACAGAUGAACAUGCCGCACAGGAGCUUGGCGCACAUGGCAGCAUCAGAUGCAGAAAGCCUGGCACUGUGAUGAAUUGAAUUCCUGGUACCAACACUUCCUUCUACUUCCUGGCCCAGAGAGACCACUCCCUCCUCUCACACAGUGUCAGAGACUUUGAAGGGUUACUUUUUGUGUCCCUCUGUCUUUCCUUCCUCUCAGGAGCAAGGAGAGGUGGAUUUGUUCUGCUUAGCAGAGGUUAACACCCAAGUGUUGGUGCACUGAGUGGCAGGGAAGUUCUUUGAAAAGCCCUGUGAGCUCAGGGAUCAUUGUAGAGGCCCCUGCUGGAAGAGUCUGUCCCUGCACAUUUAUAGGAUUGCGGUUGAUCAUCUCUCAACAGCAAGAGGUUAUGGAAGAGAAAUCUGAAGAGAAAGAUGAGAAAAAGGUGGAGAAAUCCUUCACUUCAAAUGAGAUUAGAGAAAUAUGUAAAAUGUGGGAAACAGUCCAAAAUUUUGUAGAAAACACCACCCAAAUAAGUCCAUAGUGGUGCAAAUGAUGAAAUCUGCUGAACAACAAUGCAAUGUCACAUUCCUCCAAAAUACUCAAAAGCAGGUAAAAGCAAGUGUCAUUCGAUAGGUUCCAUGUUAAAGUUCCAAGAAAAGAAAGAUUCCAGUGAGCCAAAUGAUAGCAGUGAUUCCUUUAGUGACAGUGAAAGUCAUCCUACACAAUAACUCUCUUCUCUCUUGUCUCCCUCAUUCCAGCCAUGAAGGUUUUCAAAGAUAAUGAACUGGAUUGGAGCAGGAGAAGGACCUCAGAUAUGUGAUCCAUUUGGAAGAUGUUAAAGAUUAUUCAAGAAGGGGACAUAGUUGCCUAAAGUUAGGGUCAGAAAAUGGUGGAAUUUGAGAACAUUUAAUAAGUAGAUAUUUAAAAGAUCUGAUAGGAAGAAAAGGGGCAAAGGGGAAGGGGAAGUGGGCGGGGUAAAGGAAAGGAAAGGAAAGAAGGGAAUGGAAUUAAUAUGAGAAAAUGGAAAAAUGGAAACAAAAUCUUUGUAAAUAGGGAGGGAUGGAGGGGUUGAAGGGAGCACAGAGGAAGGGGGAAAAAUAAGAACCAAGAGAGAUUAUGUAAAGGUGCAAAUUUCCAAUGAUGAAUGUCAUUAUAUUGUAUACCUAAAAUGUACCAAUGAUUAAAAUGAAUUAUUGAUAAUGUGAAAUAGGAAAAAAAGGUCCAAAG
Long non-coding RNA from Heterocephalus glaber (naked mole-rat), 1309 nucleotides. NCBI's taxonomy places the organism in Eukaryota, Metazoa, Chordata, Mammalia, Rodentia, Bathyergidae. The record is from Ensembl.